AGCCCUCACCGCGAGCAGUGUGUCAUGGCUGCCUCAGACAGGCCCUCGGCUGGCCGGUUCUGCCAUGCACCUCUGGCGCACACACCCCUUCACACUCCUCUCCAAGCCCCCAAGACUGCUCUCUUCUAAGAACUCCAGGAGUAAUGAUACCAUGGACAAUCUUAUACUUUUGCCUCCAGUUGUGAUGUAAUUUGACAGGCUGAGCUCCUCCUGUUACCAUCAUCCUUACUGUCAGCUAAAAGCUUAUUGAGAAAAAAAGAAAAAGAAAAAAAGAAGAAGAAGAAAAAGCCGAACUGUAACUUACCAACCAACCCAAGCCAAAUAACACUUUGGAAAGCAAUGUGGUUACAAAAGCAAUAAAUGAAUGGCUUAGCCCUUCUUGUGUCUUAGA
RNAcentral lists this long non-coding RNA (391 nucleotides) under Marmota marmota marmota (Alpine marmot). Its description in RNAcentral is "lncRNA (ENSMMMG00000018112.1)". The record is from RNAcentral. Lineage: Eukaryota; Metazoa; Chordata; Mammalia; Rodentia; Sciuridae.